GAAUACUCUAAAAUUUCUUCAAAUUCAAGCUAAGAUACAAAUUUGUAUUUUGUUAUUGUCUUAUUCAAUCGUAAAAUAAAAUUGUUAGAGGAUAAGAGUUAUCCGAUUAAUUUCAUCUUUGGAUAUGUAUACGUUCGAUUAAUUUUUCAAAUAACAAAUUUCUUAUUUAAAAAUAUUCUAUUAAAAUAGAAGUCUUUUGUGAAAAUGAAUAAACUAUUAAAUUUUUAAAAAUGCAAGAGAAAAUUCUAUGGAUUUGUAAGACUACCGGACAUUCUAAUCGAUAAACGCAUAUUGCGCGUUAUGAAUCUAACAACUUCUAACAUUUCUUGCGAAAAUAAUCAUUAACUUUUCGAUGGGUUUAUGUAAAAAAAAAAGAAAAAAAAAGGGAACAACCCUCCGUUUUAUGGUAAGAGAUUAUUCUCAAAGAUACUGGCUGAAAAUACAUUAAAAGGCGCGCACGUCGGUGACGAGAUUAAAGGUAACCUUCCCAUCGAUUUUCAGUCUUCAAGGGUCAACGACGUAUUACGUGCAUAGAACUAAUACAAGUGAAUUUCGCAAAAUAUUUCUCCAAAAAGAUUAUACCAAGAAGUAAAAGAACGACUUGAAAAUUGAAAAAAACAAGGACGAUAAAUCUUUAUUAUAAUGAAGGACAUAGAAACGCCCACGCGAUGUGCUAGUAAGUAGAGCCAGUCGAUAUCAGAGAAGGUAAAACAGGAGAGAAAGAGAGAAAGAGAGAGAGAGAGAGAGAGAGAGAGAGAGAGAGAGAGAGAGAGAGAGAGAGAGAGAGAGAGAGAGAGAGAGAGA
Vespula vulgaris is the source of this 804-nucleotide long non-coding RNA. RefSeq lists it as uncharacterized. Lineage: Eukaryota; Metazoa; Arthropoda; Insecta; Hymenoptera; Vespidae. The record is from RefSeq and is a predicted model, not a curated record. The transcript has 2 exons.